Molecule: ribosomal RNA, 278 nt
Filed under: uncultured prokaryote
Description: partial 16S ribosomal RNA
Rfam family: Bacterial small subunit ribosomal RNA
Source: RNAcentral
UACGUAGGUGGCGAGCGUUGUCCGGAUUUACUGGGCGUAAAGGAUGCGUAGGUGGAAAUUUAAGUGGGAUGUGAAAUCCCCGGGCUCAACCCGGGAACUGCAUUCCAAACUGGAUUUCUUGAGUACAGGAGAGGAAAGCGGAAUUCCUAGUGUAGCGGUGAAAUGCGUAGAUAUUAGGAGGAACACCAGUGGCGAAGGCGGCUUUCUGGACUGUAACUGACACUGAGGCAUGAAAGCGUGGGUAGCAAACAGGAUUAGAUACCCGGGUAGUCCCUGAG